This is a long non-coding RNA of Mesoplodon densirostris (Blainville's beaked whale), 3832 nucleotides long. RefSeq lists it as uncharacterized. The transcript has 4 exons. The record is from RefSeq and is a predicted model, not a curated record. Lineage: Eukaryota; Metazoa; Chordata; Mammalia; Artiodactyla; Ziphiidae.
GCUGGGCGGUCUAGGGGAGCAUCCUGGAGUCGCGCUGGAGCCGGUGGGCGAGCCCCAGGGCCGCGUCCGCCCAAAGCGCACAGGCUCCCCGAGGGGGUUACAGGGAUGGCCUGAUGCAAAGCAACUACCCUCACAGAAUUGGAACGCCCCUUAAGGACUCUUCUAGAACAACUCCUUCGUCUUACAGAUGUGGAAAAUGAGGCCCGGAGUGCAGAACGACUUGCCUUUGCAAUUGGGGAACCCAAGCUAGGAGAGCACCCCAAGUGGCCCCUCUCCUGGACUAGUUCACUUUCUGGACCGCUGCCUCUGACUCUGCGGAUGCGGAAACUGAAGCUUAGAGAGCUGCAGCGAGCGAACCCUGCCUGACAACACCGAAGGAAUUUUUCCCAGGGAUCGGCCGAAAGCUGACUCACAUUUAAAGACUUGCCCAAAGUGGUCAUGCCCCUCUGAGCAAAUACCACAGGCAUGUCAAACCCCGCUCCCCACGGCCCCGCCGCCAGGCCCCGCAGCUGCCCGGCCCGGCCCAGCCCGGCCCGGCCCGCGAUUGGACGAGCGCCGCGCUGCUGAGCCAGGCCAGCCAAUCGCGGCUCGCGUAGCACGGCCAGCCAAUCGUGGCGCCGCUUAGCCCGGCGCAGCCAACCGCAGCGCCGCUUAGUCGGGCCAGCCAAUCGCAGCGCCACCUAGCCGGUUGCUAUCCGGGUCCCGGGUCCUAGGGAGGUGCGGCGGAUGGCGGUUGCUGCUUGUUUUCUGUCCCGCGGGCGGGGGUGGAGCGGGAGGCUUCGGCUGUGUGUUUAGGCAGGUAGGGCCCCGGAGGGAAGUGAAGAGUGAGGGCUGAGCCGCCUACGAGGGAGGGAGGCUGCCUCAGGGCCUUGAGCCGCAAAGUGCCACUGCUGCACGUGAGCUGCUGCGAGCUGCCAGGGGCUCCGGCGCCGGCGCGGGGCGCAUCCCUGGGAACCCAUCCUUGGGAGCUGACAGUCCAGUUCCAGGCUGCCCCAGAGCUCCAGCACCCGUCAGUCUUUUCUCCUCCAGUUGUGGAAGGCAAGAAGAGGCACUGACCCAUCAAGAGUGCAGAAGGUGCUGGAAAGAUAUCAAACGUCCGAGGUGUCUCUGUGUUCACAGAUAAAUACACAUAUAUUUAUGGAGCAUCGGUUAUGAUGAGCCCAGCAGCCCAAGGUUAAACAGGAGAGUUCCCUUCCAGAACUUACUGCCUUUUCACUAUCUAAUACGGUUUGAAACAGUGUUACUGAACCAUUGGAGGUUUACCUGCCUGGGGACUCACUUUUGAGCGCCAGCUGCACACUAAGAGCUCUGCGAACGUCCCCAGGAGAGCAGAUUGCGGGACCAAGCUCUCCAUGGCCGUGGGCAGAAUGCCACACCUUCGGACAAGGUCUGCUCAUAAAUGGCACCUGGCUUGGUAAAGAGAACUUUUACUCCAGAACUCCGAGGAGAAGAAUGAUGGGACUUUCUGGGGGGAUGGAUGGAGACAAUGACCCUGGGAUGUGCUACAAGUCACCUGCAGGGAACUGAAACUUUAUAGUCCUUGGGUGGGCACAGGAGCCCAGGCAGUGAAGGGGCCAAAGAAACGAGCAUGGAAUGGAACACUGUCAGACUUAAAAGAAAUGUAAGAGACCCACUUGUCCUUUCCAAAGCUGCACCAGAGCAUUCCAACGCGCUCCUGAUCCUGUCUACACGGUGUCAAGAUGCGUGGGUGAUUCCUUCAGUUCCGAGGAAUGAGGCAGUCCUGUGGGUGGUUUGCAGCCCAUGCGGCAGUCAGUGAUAGACUGACUUUGAAACAUGACCGAAAGAAGUCACGGCUUCACUGGUGUCUGGCCGCAAACACGAUCACAGAGCGUUUCAGUGUGUUUACUGCUGUGUAACAAACCACCCCAAAACUUAGCAUCUUAAAACGACAAUUCUGUACAGGGUCAGGAAGUUGGGCAGGACUCAGCCAGGCAGUUCUGGCCAUGAGGAGUCAUCUGGGGUCAUUCAUUGGCUGCAUUCUGCUGGCUCUGAGCUGGCGGGAAACCAAGAUCUCAGUCCUGUGUCUGGGGCCUUGGGGUCCUGCACGUGGCUUCUCCUCUGGCUGCCUUGGGCUUCCCCACAGCACAUGGGCUUGGGCUCUCUGGCAUUUUACAUCCCUGCUGGCUUCCAAAGAGAGAGGAAGCAGGAGCUUCCAAUCCUCUGACAAUCAGGGCUUGGAAGUCCCAGGUUACUUUAGCCAAAUUCUGUAGGUCAAAACCAGUCACAGGCCAGCCCAGAUCAAGAGGAAAGGAAAGAGACGCCAUCUCCUCACCAGGGAGAAAUGCCUACCAGCACAGGGUGGGGAGAGCUUUGGUGGGGGGGCAGUGUUGGAGACUGGCAUCCACACACAGUGGACAGAAAGCUGCGGGUAGGAGGUGCCUGCAGAAUUUGGGGACAUUUUGAAUAAGACCCAGGGGCUGCUGGUGUCUCUGUGAUUUGGUUUCUCUUUGCAUACUGGGGAUUGGAAGGUUCAAAAAGCUUUUUCUCUCCACUGGAAAAUCACUCGUCUCAAUGGCCAAGCAAGGGCUGGGGAGCCCCGAGCAUGCUUGCCGUGGGCUGGAGAAAGGGAGGGCACCUCUUUGGAGUUACGGAUGGAGCUCUGCAGGCUUGGGGACGUGUGUUCUUCCGGGGUGCACUGGCUUGCCUGUUUCUAUGCCAAGUUCAGGGGCUGCAGUUUGAGUCACCAUUCUCCCCCUCACCCAUAGCAGACAUUUGGACCACUCUUCCUAGUAAACCUUGGAAUUCUUGUUAACACACAACCUAGGUAGACAAUGCAGGCGGAUCUGAGGUGUAGCAUGCCUUGAAAUCUAUAGACUAAUACAGGCUGUCCUCUCUGAAAGGCACCAAAGAGGCACUCACAAUCCCCAAGUAAGAAAGAAAGUCUAGCUGCCCCUGGGGUGGGGAGAGGUCAGGGGGAGAGAGGAGGAUACCCUCCUGACAGGUGUUUCCCAGGUACCACAGGGGAACACACCUGCUGUGGUUUGUUGGGAACCAUGCUCAGGUGCCCUUGGAGGUGGAGUCAUGGCGCCAGCAGGAGAGGAAAGUGAUGCACCAGGGGCAGGAGACCUUGGGCGUGGCAUGCUCUCCCCUGACUGGUGAGAGGGCUGGUCAUUAACAGGGGAGCUGGAGAGAUAGAGGUCUGGACACUCUGUUGUGACCCUGGGGCCCCAGGGGCCUCAGUGUCAUCAUCUGUAAAGUAAGGGAGCUUGUUUCUGUGCCCUGUUCCAGCUCUAACAUGCUGUGGUCCUAGAACUAGCUGAACCAUGGAGGUCUUUCUUAUAGCAAGAGAUGGGCGACUUUUCAAAGCAGAUCAAGGGGGUGUGAUCCCUGACUUUCUUGCUUCAGACACAGUGAAACAGACAAGGAAGGAUGUUUGGCCAACGCUGUACUUGGGCCGCAGCUAAGGGGCAGACUUAGAAUCAGAGACUUCUCCGCGUGGCAGGAUGGCUUAGAGAUUGUUUUUUUUAAUUUGCCUUUUAUGACAAGAGUCAGAGGGAGGGCAGUAGAUGACGGGCAUCAGCCCUCUGCCUGGGAUUCAGGCGUCCAUACUCUGACCACUGGCUUGCAUCACCAACGCCAACCAGAGGCUGACUCUUCUGGCUAAAACAGCCCCUUUCCCAACUGGGGUCUGGCUGGGGUCUGGGAAUGCCCAUUAAAAUCCAGUUCCACCCACUCAGCCUCUUCCUCUGGUCCCCCUUUUCCCUUUCUCGACCUGCACCUGGUGUUCUCGCCUUUGCCAAAAAGGCUUAAACCUUGUCAACUUCUCAGCGAUGAGAAAUCCCACGCACCCUCCGGCUCCCCCAGCCCCAGU